UCCUCCGAAAAGGACGGGCGGCUUCCCUCGGCCUUCGGCGCAUGUCCGCCGGCUGCUUCUUCGCCAGCAAUCCAGCAAUCUCCCAGAGGCCUUCUCGGCAAUGGCGGACUUCCUGUCCCUCGAACCCUCCACUUCCGGCUUCUCCUCUCCGAGCCACGUGGCUGCAGAGGCUCUUUUGGUGGCGGUUUUGCACGUGUAACAAUAUGGGAAGGAAUCGACAUAGAGACCAUGAUGCCCGUCCACUUCCUGACGCUGGAACCCAUGGCGCUCUGCUACUGACGGCGGCGGAGUAGCUACAACCGGGUGGUGGGAGGCUUUGGAGAUGGCUGAGCUUGUUUGGGUGGGUGAGAGGGCCACAUGUCUCUUGGAGCAACUGCCAAGAUCCAUGAAGUUCAGACUCAUCUGGACCAGCCACAUGGAUUCCCGUCUUGAGUUGAAGACCAACCUUCCAGUGUCCAGUAAAAGGACCGCUGCGUUGAUGCAA
Molecule: long non-coding RNA, 484 nt
Organism: Crotalus tigris (Tiger rattlesnake)
Lineage: Eukaryota; Metazoa; Chordata; Lepidosauria; Squamata; Viperidae
Exons: 2
Source: RefSeq, a predicted model, not a curated record